This 73-nucleotide transfer RNA is filed under the name Mesitornis unicolor (brown roatelo). RNAcentral's name for it is "tRNA-Val". The record is from RNAcentral. Lineage: Eukaryota; Metazoa; Chordata; Aves; Mesitornithiformes; Mesitornithidae.
CAAGACGUAGCUAUAACUCCAAAGCACUCAGCUUACACCUGAGAGAUAUCUGUCAACUACCAGAUCGCCUUGA